GAGGAUGACACCAAAGCACGUGGUCACCUGCUGAGACGUGGAUACAUCCCAUUCGCACUAAGCACCUACAGCUGUGCUUUGGCGAAGACUAUACAUUGAAGACCUCGGGGAAGUUUCCCGAUGUCCUCGGUGAGGCAAAUGAUAUCUACCGACAUCCCACUGUGAAAGAUGAAGAAUCAGUUCACUUAUACUAAUCCCACCCUCCUAGCCCAUCUCUUUCCCAGCAAGCCUGUGGCGGCGGCGGUGGUGGUGGCGGAACGUGAUCAAUUGCUCGACGCUCUUCUAUUGAGCCCUCACCUAUACAUCAGCUUUGUCUCCUAC
RNAcentral lists this long non-coding RNA (321 nucleotides) under Equus caballus (horse). Its description in RNAcentral is "lncRNA (ENSECAG00000049077.1)". Lineage: Eukaryota; Metazoa; Chordata; Mammalia; Perissodactyla; Equidae. The record is from RNAcentral.